UCAUAAGGCGGAAUCCGAAAGAAGGUUUUGGAAAAACUCUGGCCUGACGAACAAAACCACGUCAGACCGUAAGCGAGGGUAAAACUGCUAAACAAGAUAAAGCCCAAUAGCUGCACGGAAUCGCUUGCGGUAGACAUGGGAAGGAU
Molecule: non-coding RNA, 146 nt
Filed under: bovine gut metagenome
Source: RNAcentral